RNAcentral lists this ribosomal RNA (256 nucleotides) under uncultured bacterium. RNAcentral describes it as "partial 16S ribosomal RNA". It matches the Rfam family "Bacterial small subunit ribosomal RNA", at positions 524 to 769 of the family's 1533-position model. The record is from RNAcentral.
UACGUAGGGGCUAGCGGUUGUCCGGAAUCAUUGGGCGUAAAGAGGCGUUGUGAUGCGUGCUCGGUAAGUCCGCUGUAAAAGUCAAAGGCUCAACCUUUGAAGUGUACAGUGGAUACUGCCGGGCUAGAGUCCGGAAGAGGCGAGUGGAAACUCCUGGUGUAGGCGGUGGAAUGGCGCAGAUAUCAAGGAAGAACACCAACGGCGAAGGCAGCUCGCUGGGACGGUACUGACGCUGAGACGCGAAAGCGUGGGGAGC